AACGGAAUAGAGAAAAAAACCAGCACCAUGGCGUUUAAAGAAAUCUUCGAACGUCAUGAUGCUGGUUUGUUUCUCUAUUCCGUU
Non-coding RNA from Marchantia polymorpha subsp. ruderalis, 84 nucleotides. Lineage: Eukaryota; Viridiplantae; Streptophyta; Marchantiopsida; Marchantiales; Marchantiaceae. The record is from the annotation of a GenBank genome assembly.